AUAGGACUGUCUUAGAAUGGUGUACAUUCUAAAACAGUCUCCAACACAAACUCGUCUUAGAAUGUCAUACAUUUUAAGACGGGCUUAU
Non-coding RNA from Glycine max (soybean), 88 nucleotides. Lineage: Eukaryota; Viridiplantae; Streptophyta; Magnoliopsida; Fabales; Fabaceae. The record is from Rfam.